This 874-nucleotide small RNA is filed under the name Pongo abelii (Sumatran orangutan). RNAcentral's name for it is "processed transcript". Lineage: Eukaryota; Metazoa; Chordata; Mammalia; Primates; Hominidae. The record is from RNAcentral.
UUCACUUCUUCGACGUUAUGAGCUUUUAUUUUACCCAGGGGAUGGAUCUGUUGAAAUGCAUGAUGUAAAGAAUCAUCGCACCUUUUUAAAGCGGACCAAAUAUGAUAACCUGCACUUGGAAGAUUUAUUUAUAGGCAACAAAGUGAAUGUCUUUUCUCGACAAUUGGUAUUAAUUGACUAUGGGGAUCAAUAUACAGCUCGCCAGCUGGGCAGUAGGAAAGAAAAAACGCUAGCCCUAAUUAAACCAGACGCAGUAUCAAAGGCUGGAGAAAUAAUUGAAAUAAUAAACAAAGCUGGAUUUACUAUAACCAAACUCAAAAUGAUGAUGCUUUCAAGGAAAGAAGCAUUGGAUUUUCAUGUAGAUCACCAAUCAAGACCCUUUUUCAAUUCACCACUGAUGGGCGCCUGGGUUGAUUCCAUGUCUUUGCUAUUGUGUAUAGUGCUGCAAUGAACAGUGAGCUGAUCCAGUUUAUUACAACUGGUCCUAUUAUUGCCAUGGAGAUUUUAAGAGAUGAUGCUAUAUGUGAAUGGAAAAGACUGCUGGGACCUGCAAACUCUGGAGUGGCACGCACAGAUGCUCCUGAAAGCAUUAGAGCCCUCUUUGGAACAGAUGGCAUAAGAAAUGCAGCGCAUGGCCCUGAUUCUUUUGCUUCUGCGGCCAGAGAGAUGGAGUUGUUUUUUCCUUCAAGUGGAGGUUGUGGGCCGGCAAACACUGCUAAAUUUACCAAUUGUACCUGUUGCAUUGUUAAACCUCAUGCUGUCAGUGAAGGUAAGUGCUGUGUUGAAUACACUAUAUUCAAUACAUUUUGUUAAUAGGAGAGCAAUGUUUAUUUUCUUGAUGUACUUUAUGUAUAGAAAUUAAAGUAUACUUUCA